GACGAACGCUGGCGGCGUGCCUAAUACAUGCAAGUUGAGCGAUGAAGACUGGUGCUUUGGCCAAUUCGGAGAACAGCGGAAGGGGGAGUCAAGUGUGGGGGAACUGCCUUUGCGCGGGGGGCAACAAUUGGGAACAAAUUCUAAUACCCAAAAACAACUUUAAAAAUAAGUUUUAAGCUUUAAAUUAGCAAAUUGCUCACUUAAAAGCUAUCCCCGGUUGUAUUAGCUAGUUGGUGAGGGAAAGGCCCACCAAGGCGAUGAUACAUAGCCGACCUGAGAGGGUGAUAGGCCACAUUGGGACGGGGACACGGCCCAAACCCCUACGGGAGGGAGCAGUAGGGGAUCUUCGGCAAUGGAAGAAAGUCUGACCGAGCAACGCCGCGUGAGUGAAGAAGGUUUUCGGAUCGUAAAACUCUGUUGGUAGAGAAGAACGUUAGGGAGAGUGGAAAGCUCAUCAAGUGACGGUAACUACCCAGAAAGGGACGGCUAACUACGUG
This 497-nucleotide ribosomal RNA is filed under the name uncultured bacterium. RNAcentral's name for it is "partial 16S ribosomal RNA". It matches the Rfam family "Bacterial small subunit ribosomal RNA", at positions 28 to 507 of the family's 1533-position model. The record is from RNAcentral.